This 354-nucleotide unclassified non-coding RNA is filed under the name soil metagenome. Its description in RNAcentral is "partial contains 5.8S ribosomal RNA, internal transcribed spacer 2, and large subunit ribosomal RNA". The stretch from base 1 to 120 matches the Rfam family "5.8S ribosomal RNA", at positions 35 to 154 of the family's 154-position model. The record is from RNAcentral.
GAUGAAGAACGCAGCGAAACGCGAUAUGUAAUGUGAAUUGCAGAAUUCAGUGAAUCAUCGAAUCUUUGAACGCACAUGGCGCCUUCCAGUAUCCUGGGAGGCAUGCCUGUCCGAGCGUCGUUUCAACCCUCGAGCCCCCGUGGCCCGGCGUUGGGGAUCUGCCCAGGCAGUCCCCGAAAACCAGUGGCGGACCCGUUACAGGCCCUUCCCUUGCGUAGUAGCAUUCGCCUCGCAUCGGGAGCCGGCGGGCUUCCAGCCUCUAAACCCCCAUCAAGACCGCCCCGGCGGCACCAAGGUUGACCUCGGAUCAGGUAGGAAUACCCGCUGAACUUAAGCAUAUCAAUAAGCGGAGGA